Molecule: long non-coding RNA, 4372 nt
Filed under: Vitis vinifera (wine grape)
Lineage: Eukaryota; Viridiplantae; Streptophyta; Magnoliopsida; Vitales; Vitaceae
Description: long non-coding RNA (VVIN_LNC005975)
Source: RNAcentral
UUCAGGGACGCUUUUCGAUCGGAGAAGGGGGAGGGUUUCAAAAACCCAUGAAGCUGGUUGUGGUGGGCUAUGCUCUUACCUCCAAGAAGACUAAGAGCUUUUUGCAGCCCAAGCUUGAACGUUUAGCUAGGUAUCGAUUUUUUUUUUUUAUUAUCUACAGAAUCUCUCUGCUAUUUUGUUUGCAAAAUUACCUACAGAAUCUCCCUGUUCUUUUGUUUAAUAAUCGGUUUGGUUGUGCAGAAAAUUUGAGAAAUGAUCGAGUCUUAUGCUUCGACGAAAACCUCCUCUCGUUUCUAAUGAACCUUAUAGCUUUGCCCUGCUGAUUUCAUUUCCCCCCCCACCCUUUUUUUUUUCGCUCUCUUAUUUUUUAUAUUUUAUUUUUUAUUUGGGUUUUCUGCCAAAGGGAGGCUAGAUUUUUAUUUAUUUAUUUUUGGUUUAUUUUUUGUUUUUCCCUUAAAGCGGGGAUCUUUCUGUUUCUGCCCCAUAUAAGCUUUCUCCGUAGGGGAUGAGUUCGGUGUCUUUGACCACAAGAUCACUUCUGAAAAGUUUAGAAUAUUCAAUAUUCAUGAAUAUUAUAUGGUUGAUAUCGUUCUGGGGAAUCAUUUCUUGAUAUGGAGAAUCUUUGGUUCUUUUUUUUUUUGUUGGAAAAUUUGUGAAUUUUGGUUUUAUACGGUUUUAAUAUUGGACUAUUCAAACAAAGAUGUAUCAUUUUCAUUUGGUGCGAAGGAAAAUAGAAGUUCUUGUAAAAUCUCACAACUACCAUUCCAACCCCAAACAGCUAGAACCAGCUAAUAAUUUUUUGUUGAAUUUAACAUAAACUAUCUUUAACUUUGAAAUAUGUAUCCUGCCGCUGGUUAAAUACCCUGAUUUACUCCCUGCUGGUUGUUGUUGUCGGGGUCAGCACCCUAGGUUUGGGUUCAUAGAGCUUGGGCACGGAAGUUUCCACGCUUAUAAACAAAAAAUAAAUAAAUAAAUAAUUGAAAUACGUAUGACCGAAAUAAUUCAGAAACCUUUCUUGCACCGUACAUUAAAGUUUUAUAGAUGUUGUAGUCUUUUCUGGACCCUUUUAUUUAACCAGGAGCUAACUCGAUGAGAUUUCUGUUGAUUUUGCAAUUUUUGUCUGCUUCUUCCCCUCUUCUGUAAUGAAAAUUGUUGUUAUUGUUACUUUUCAUAUUGUAACGUGGAUACUUUUUGAGUAUUGUUUUGUUAAUCACUGUUCAUAACCACAUCUCCUGAUGUUGAUCUUUGUGCACUCAUGUUAUGAAAUGAAUCUAAUUUAAUUCUAUGCUCUCGGGUUAUGAGGUUAAUCUAAUUUAACUAUAUGCAUGUGGCAGGUAUUGGGUUAGCUCAUAAUGUUUUAUUUUCCUAUCCAUUUAUAGAGGGAAAUUGUUUAUAUUUUUUAUAUGAAAAUCUUGGUUUCUUUUAGUGAUUGUCUCUUUCUAAGAAAGACUAAUAAUAAACUAUAUGAGGUUUCAUGUUUUGGGCAUUAGAGUUUUAAUAUACGUUUAGUCUGUCCAUUGUUUACAUUUCCAUUUUUUCUAUUCAUUAACUGGCUAACGUUAUAAAUGCGGUGCAUUGAUGCAGGAAUAAGGGGAUAUCAUUUGUUGCCAUUGAUCAAAAUCGCUCCCUUUCAGAGCAAGGCCCCUUUGAUAUUGUGUUGCAUAAGGUUGGUAAAGAUUUCUCUUUUUCUUAUGCAGUUUCUCUUUAUAAAAAGUAAUGAUGAGUCUCCUCUAGUGGGCUUUUUAUUUUUUAUUUGGCUGGUGAUUACACCUGGGUUUGGUGAUUAUCAAUUAAUCUCUCUUAAAGUCAUUCUGUCAAUUAAUUAUUAUUGCUGUUGUCUGCAUGUUUAUGAGGUAGGUUUUGGUUUAAGGGGAACAUGCUCACCUUUAAUGGAUCUUUCUUUCUUUCCUUUUUGUAUUUUUAAUGCAGCUAUCAGGAAAGGAGUGGCGCCAGAUUCUUGAGGUUGGUCCAUUUAAAACUCUUCAUUAUUCUGCCAAUUAUAAGAAUUUGUUAAUUUUCUAGAACUGAAUGAUUACUAUUAUGCCACAAUGGCGUGACAUGCUACUCAUCUUAUGAUACUAUAUAUUCAUGCUGGCAACCAAACAAAUACUGACAUUGGCUGGUGGGCAACUUGAUUCUAAUAUUUGAAACUCAUUACUCUCUGAUAUAAUUUGCAGAGUGCUUGCUCUUUCCUCCAUCAUGAAUCAUGACCCAAUAAGUGAGGUCGAAGCCUCAAGAUUCCAGCAACUGAAGAUUUUUCGCCUUCCAUGGGCAAUCUAUCUGAUUUAUUCAGGUUUCCUUAAGUAUUAUUUGCAAAGGACUUUUGGAUUUUAUUUUUUUGAGUGGUUCAUUUUCCCUGGCAGUGGCGGAGCCAGCAUGGGCUUAGUCUCAAAUUUUAAAAAUAAAAAUUUUCCUUCUAUUAAUUAAUUAAGAAUUAACAAAAAUAAAAUCCAAAAGUGUAAGUUUGCCCCCCAUAAAAAAAAAUAACUUUGUGUGAGAAAAGGCAGGAUUAGAUAGAGUUAAAAAAAAAAAAAAAAAUAUAUAGAUAAGUCCGGAUGCUAAAUAGAUUUUAUAAACUAUUUGGUUGUUUUCAUUUUGAAGUUUAUUUAAAUCUUUAAAAUUAAUUUUUAUUUAAAUCCCAAUAUACAUCAUAAAAUAAAUUUUAAUAAUUUUUUUUGGUAAUUUUGUACUUGAUAUUUUAUUAAAUAUUCUUUUAUAAGUGGAUUGUCUUUAGUUUGAUUUUGUGAUCUUUUAAGUGUUUAGAUUUUUAGAUUUAAUAAGGUAAAUAGUAAUUUACAAAUAAUGACAUGAUUAUUUUAAUUUCAUUCAAUUGUUCACAUGGAGUAUUUCAUGUUUAAUUUUUAUCAUAGGAGAUUAUAUGGUUUAUAUGAUAUUUUGAAUAAUAGACAAUAAUUGUUACUUUUUAUUACCACUUAUGUUUUAUUUGAAGAGACUUAUGACUCCACCAAAUUUUGAAUCAUUAAAUCACUAAUGUUUUAAUGAUGGUGGAAUAUUUAUAUUUCCAUAUUGUAGAUAACCCAUAAAUAAAAAUUUUAUUACUGUUAAGUGAUUUAUAUUUAAUUAUUUGAAAAAUUCAAAGAAUUUAUUAGUGAAAUUGUUGAUUUUUUUCUAAAUUUUUUGUAGUAAAAACUUGCUAAAUUAUUUAUAUAUAAAAAAAAACAGUGACAUUUCUUGCCAUUUUUUAAAAUGCUUUUGAAAAAAUCUUCGAAUUUUUUAAUAAAAUCUCAAACUUAAAUAUUCUUAAUAAGAAAUUAUUUUACCAAUAUUUUUCACAUUGUUGUUAUUUAAUUUGAUAGAUUGUGUAUUUUUCUUUCCUUUCAUGAUUAAUGUCAAUCAUUGCUUACUUUAUUGAAUGAUGUUAAGACUAUUGUUUGUAAAAUAUCUAUAUAUAUUAUAAUCCACAAAUUUUCUACUUGCCCUUCCUGACCCCUUUUAUGACUUAUCAUCUGGUGGAGAUGAAUUAUCCAAUCCUAGAUACCUUGAUAUCCAGUAUUCUUUUUUUCAGGUUUUUGCUAUGCUUUUUAAAUUAUUCCACAUCAUUUUCUCCUUUUUUGGUUUGCUGGAUGCAUUGACAAGUUGAAUAUUUACACUUCUAUCCUGUGACAGAGUGGAUGAAAAUAUGCAUUUCCUUAGCACAUUUGGUAGGAAUGUAGCUGCAACGUUGUGUCCUAAAGCUAGAUUCAAGUUUAAAAUUUCUGUUAAAUGAAUAUCGUGCUUUUGAAACUUUGAGAACAUAGUGGUGUAUUAAUUUUAUUAAUUGAUUUUUUGGAACUUAUUUGACUACCAUUAAUUUCCUUAGUUCAUGCCAUUUUCUGAGUGAGAGAUGAUGUACUCAAACUCUAUUUAUAACCUUAUAUACCUGUUCGUGAUUUUUUUUUUCCUUAUUUCCAUAACAUUGGCAAACUAUUUAUAAAUAAUGGGUGACUCAGGUUAUUCUAUAAAAGAAAUUAUUUUCUACUUUUUAUGUGCUACAACUUUUGCAAUUAAUCCUAUGUUUGUGGUCAGAUUUCUUGAAGUUAUACGGGCUGCUUUAACUAUUUAGUUACAUGUAUCCGUGCCCCCACCUAAGAAUGUAUUGGCAAUAAGGCAAGGUCCAUUACCCUGAAUUUCCAGGGCAUUUUUACUUCAAAUUCCUCUGGUUGACUGUACAACUGUACUGAGCUUACCAAAUGACUUCCCCAGUUUGAGAAUGCUGAUACACUGAUUCAUCACCACAAUUUACAAGGUCAACCUGCACCACCACAACUGGCAUAUUCUGUCCACAUCCAUACCCAUACCAUUGUAUAGUACAAGCGCAUAAUAAGCCCAAUGUUUCUUCAUUUUAAUCUGAACAAAAGAUUGGGGAUGCAGG